CCUACGGGGGGCUGCAGUGGGGAAUAUUGGACAAUGGGCGAAAGCCUGAUCCAGCCAUGCCGCGUGUGUGAAGAAGGCCUUCGGGUUGUAAAGCACUUUCAGUGGGGAAGAAAGCCUUGGGGCUAAUACCCUCGAGGAAGGACAUCACCCACAGAAGAAGCACCGGCUAACUCCGUGCCAGCAGCCGCGGUAAUACGGAGGGUGCGAGCGUUAAUCGGAAUUACUGGGCGUAAAGCGCGCGUAGGCGGUCUGAUAAGCCGGUUGUGAAAGCCCCGGGCUCAACCUGGGAACGGCAUCCGGAACGGGCGGGCUAGAGUCAAGGAGGGGGAGGUAACAUUCCAGGUGUAGCGGUGAAAUGCGUAGAGAUCUGGAGGAAUACCGGGGGCGAGGGCGGCCUCCUGGACUGAUACGGACGCUGAGGUGCGACAGCGUGGGUAGCAAACAGGAUUAGAUCCCCCGGUAGUC
RNAcentral lists this ribosomal RNA (465 nucleotides) under Vreelandella stevensii. RNAcentral's name for it is "partial 16S ribosomal RNA". It matches the Rfam family "Bacterial small subunit ribosomal RNA", at positions 338 to 795 of the family's 1533-position model. Lineage: Bacteria; Pseudomonadati; Pseudomonadota; Gammaproteobacteria; Oceanospirillales; Halomonadaceae. The record is from RNAcentral.